This 913-nucleotide ribosomal RNA is filed under the name uncultured marine archaeon TS10C286. RNAcentral describes it as "bacterial SSU rRNA". It matches the Rfam family "Archaeal small subunit ribosomal RNA", at positions 1 to 922 of the family's 1478-position model. The record is from RNAcentral.
UUCCGGUUGAUCCUGCCGGACCUGACUGCUAUCGGAUUGAUACUAAGCCAUGCGAGUCAUUGUAGCAAUACAAGGCAGACGGCUCAGUAACGCGUAGUCAACCUACCCUAUGGACGGGGAUAACCUCGGGAAACUGAGAAUAAUACCCGAUAGAACAUUAUACCUGGAAUGGUUUAUGUUUCAAAUAAUUUAUUGCCGUAGGAUGGGACUGCGGCCUAUCAGUUUGUUGGUGAGGUAAUGGCCCACCAAGACUAUUACAGGUACGGGCUCUGAGAGGAGUAGCCCGGAGAUGGGUACUGAGACACGGACCCAGGCCCUAUGGGGCGCAGCAGGCGAGAAAACUUUGCAAUGUGCGAAAGCACGACAAGGUUAAUCCGAGUGGUUUCUGCUAAAGGAACCUUUUGUUAGUCAUAGAACCACUAAUGAAUAAGGGUGGGCAAGUUCUGGUGUCAGCCGCCGCGGUAAAACCAGCACCUCAAGUGGUCAGGAUGAUUAUUGGGCCUAAAGCAUCCGUAGCCUGCUUUGUUAGUUUUCGGUUAAAUCCAUACGCUCAACGUAUGGGCUGCCGGGAAUACUGCAAAGCUAGGGAGUGGGAGAGGUAGACGGUACUCGGUAGGAAGGGGUAAAAUCCUUUGAUCUAUUGAUGACCACCUGUGGCGAAGGCGGUCUACCAGAACACGUCCGACGGUGAGGGAUGAAAGCUGGGGGAGCAAACCGGAUUAGAUACCCGGGUAGUCCCAGCUGUAAACUAUGCAAACUCGGUGAUGCAUUGGCUUGAUGCCAAUGCAGUGCCGCAGGGAAGCCGUUAAGUUUGCCGCCUGGGAAGUACGUACGCAAGUAUGAAACUUAAAGGAAUUGGCGGUGGAGCACCACAAGGGGUGAAGCCUGCGGUUCAAUUGGAUUCAACGCCGGG